RNAcentral lists this ribosomal RNA (465 nucleotides) under uncultured bacterium. Its description in RNAcentral is "partial 16S ribosomal RNA". It matches the Rfam family "Bacterial small subunit ribosomal RNA", at positions 338 to 795 of the family's 1533-position model. The record is from RNAcentral.
CCUACGGGAGGCAGCAGUGGGGAAUUUUGCGCAAUGCUCGUAAGAGUGACGCAGCGACGCCGCGUGAAUGACGAAGGCCUUCGGGUCGUAAAGUUCUUUCGACAGGGAAGAAAAUGCCUAUAAGUAACUGUGUAUGUAUUGACGGUACCUGUAUAAGCAGCCCCGGCUAACUCCGUGCCAGCAGCCGCGGUAAUACGGAGGGGGCGAGCGUUGUUCGGAGUGACUGGGCGUAAAGAGCACGUAGGCGGUGGUGUAAGUCAUUAGUCAAAGACUAGAGCUCAACUUUAGUAAGGCUAGUGAUACUGUAAUACUGGAGUAUCAGAGAGGAUUGCAGAAUUCCUGGUGUAGCGGUGAAAUGCGUAGAUAUCAGGAGGAAUACCGUUAGCGAAGGCGGCAAUCUGGCUGGAAACUGACGCUGAGGUGCGAAAGCGUGGGUAGCAAACAGGAUUAGAUACCCCAGUAGUC